AUUGAACGCUGGCGGCAUGCCUUACACAUGCAAGUCGAACGGCAGCACGGGUGCUUGCACCUGGUGGCGAGUGGCGAACGGGUGAGUAAUACAUCGGAACAUGUCCUGUAGUGGGGGAUAGCCCGGCGAAAGCCGGAUUAAUACCGCAUACGAUCCACGGAUGAAAGCGGGGGACCUUCGGGCCUCGCGCUAUAGGGUUGGCCGAUGGCUGAUUAGCUAGUUGGUGGGGUAAAGGCCUACCAAGACGACGAUCAGUAGCUGGUCUGAGAGGACGACCAGCCACACUGGGACUGAGACACGGCCCAGACUCCUACGGGAGGCAGCAGUGGGGAAUUUUAGACAAUGGGCGAAAGCCUGAUCCAGCAAUGCCGCGUGUGUGAAGAAGGACUUCGGGUUGUAAAGCACUUUUGUCCGGAAAGAAAUCCUUGACUCUAAUACAGUCGGGGGAUGACGGUACCGGAAGAAUAAGCACCGGCUAACUACGUG
RNAcentral lists this ribosomal RNA (486 nucleotides) under uncultured bacterium. RNAcentral's name for it is "partial 16S ribosomal RNA". It matches the Rfam family "Bacterial small subunit ribosomal RNA", at positions 30 to 507 of the family's 1533-position model. The record is from RNAcentral.